This 302-nucleotide unclassified non-coding RNA is filed under the name uncultured Glomus. RNAcentral's name for it is "sequence contains 5.8S rRNA gene". The stretch from base 1 to 53 matches the Rfam family "5.8S ribosomal RNA", at positions 102 to 154 of the family's 154-position model. Lineage: Eukaryota; Fungi; Glomeromycota; Glomeromycetes; Glomerales; Glomeraceae. The record is from RNAcentral.
GAACGCAAAUUGCACUUUCUGGUAAUCCGGAGAGUAUGCCUGUUUGAGGGUCGUUUAAAUAAAAUAUCGGUUUGUCGUUUUAUGCUUGACAUGUUCGACGUACCGGAAUUGGGUCAUCUUAGCCUUUCGAGUUUGAAGAGACCUAAAAUUUUAUCGUACUUUUUCGGUAUGAUUACGUACUUAAUCUGUCGUUUGAAUGCCGAAUGUGUUUUUAUUAGACGGUGACUACUGAAUAGUCUCGCGUCCAUAAAUUUUUUCGAAUUUCGACCUCAAAUCAGGUAAGAGUACCCGCUGAACUUAAG